UCGGACGUGGUGUACGGCACAUCCUCGCUCUCUAUUGAGGAGAUCCUGUGUAUAUACGGCGAGGAACCGGGGUUCGACUCCCCGCGUCUGAA
Molecule: non-coding RNA, 92 nt
Organism: Mycena vulgaris
Lineage: Eukaryota; Fungi; Basidiomycota; Agaricomycetes; Agaricales; Mycenaceae
Source: the annotation of a GenBank genome assembly